Molecule: transfer RNA, 67 nt
Filed under: Halocynthia roretzi
Lineage: Eukaryota; Metazoa; Chordata; Ascidiacea; Stolidobranchia; Pyuridae
Description: tRNA-Val
Source: RNAcentral
CAAUGAGUAGUUUAACUAAGAUAUUACUCUUACAAAGUAAAGAUUUACAUUUAAUUGUGUUCGUUGA